CUACGGGACGCUCCAGUAAGGAAUAUUGGACAAUGGAGGAAACUCUGAUCCAGCCAUGCCGCGUGAGUGAAGAAGGCCUUCGGGUUGUAAAGCUCUUUUACCCCUGACGAUAAUAACGGUAAGGGGAGAAAAAGCCACGGCUAACUUCGUGCCAGCAGCCGCGGUAAUACGAAGGUGGCAAGCGUUGUUCGGAUUUACUGGGCGUAAAGCGUAUGUAGGCGGUUUGAUAAGUCAGAAGUGAAAGCCCAGGGCUAAACCCUGGAAUUGCUUUUGAAACUAUCUUACUUGAAUCCGAUAGAGGUUGGCGGAAUUCCCAGUGUAGAGGUGAAAUUCGCAGAUAUUGGGAGGAACACCAGUGGCGUAAGCGGCCAACUGGAUCGGUAUUGACGCUGAGAUACGAAAGCGUGGGUAGCAAACAGGAUUAGAUACCCUCGUAGUC
Molecule: ribosomal RNA, 439 nt
Filed under: uncultured bacterium
Lineage: Bacteria
Description: partial 16S ribosomal RNA
Rfam family: Bacterial small subunit ribosomal RNA
Source: RNAcentral